GUGACGUUACUCGACUGGCGAAGAGGGGAGGUCGUGACCCUCCUGGGACGGGUUCGAUUCCCGUACGUCACC
RNAcentral lists this transfer RNA (72 nucleotides) under Deltaproteobacteria bacterium. RNAcentral describes it as "tRNA-His". Lineage: Bacteria; Pseudomonadati; Myxococcota; Myxococcia. The record is from RNAcentral.